Molecule: long non-coding RNA, 1544 nt
Organism: Astyanax mexicanus (Mexican tetra)
Lineage: Eukaryota; Metazoa; Chordata; Actinopteri; Characiformes; Acestrorhamphidae
Exons: 3
Source: RefSeq, a predicted model, not a curated record
AUGCUACUGGUAGUUUUGUCUCACAGCUGGAAUCUACAGUAAAGGUACAGCCUGGACUCUCCACCAGUCUCGACUGCCACGCUCAUCUAGAUGGAAGAAUUGUUUUAAUAUUCUGGCUCAAAAUUCCUCUUAACAAACCCCCAGUCUGUAUUGCUUCAACUCAGUCAUUGUCUGAUGAUGUAAAAAUGUGUAAACAAUUUAAAAAUCAAUCCCGAGUCGAAGCUACAUGGAACAAAAAGACCUUCAGUUUGUUGUUUUCAUCAGUGGAACAAACAGAUAUCGCAACUUACAUCUGUGGAGUGCAUAGUUACGGAUAUUUACUUUUUGGAAAUGGGACAAAAUUGAUUCUUGAUGAAGUUGCAGAUGUAACUACACCAAACACGCCAAUCGAAGACAACAAAGCGAAAUUUGGUCAGUAUCAUUUGAUCACUCUUCUAUUAAAAAAAUAAACAAUGGUUUAACCUCUAUGUAUUUGUGCAAAAAAAAAGUUUGUGAAAAAAAUUCACUUCGAAAUAAACACAUUUUCUUUAUUUUCUGAACUUCAAGGAUUUGAGUAUCUAGUGAUGUCAUUAGCAGCAACAAAUGUGGCAUCAAUUUUUCUCAUCCUUUUGCUGUGUUAUUGCUUAAAGAAAAAAAGAUCAGGUAGGAAUCAUUGUGUAAAAUGCAUUUUGUAAGGAACAUAAACAUAAAGUUUCAUGUUUACAUGCCACAUUUUCACAAAAACUAGUGGAAUUAUAUUUUUUUAUGUUCAUAUUUGUAUAUAUAUUACAUUGUAGUAUAAUUCAUAUUGCCAGAAUUUCCUCACGGUGUGAUAUAAAUUAUAAAUUGCAUGUCCAUGUAUUACAGGUCCAAUCGAUGAAGUCAACAGUGCAAAUGACAAAACGACAGAUGAAAUAAACUACGCUGCUCUCAAAUUUGGCAACAAACAGAGGAGAACGGUACAGAAAAGGCCUGAUGUAACCACAAAAGUCAUAUAUGGAACUGUGCGACACCAAGAGGAGUUAUAGCACCAUGCUGAAAUGAAUGCAUAUCUUCAAUAUAAAGCACAUGCUGUCUGUUCAUAAUGCUGUUUAAGCAGUUACUUAAACAGUUACUUAAGCAGUUAUUUUCUUAUAAAAACUUCUUUUGAAAAUUGGUUAUUCACUGUAAAACAAAAAUUUAAUGAUCGUGUCUUUCUACUUUCCUAAUACCCCUAAAACUACUAAUACUUUGAAUAUCCCACCAUCUAACAUAAAUAAAGUCAUCAAAAUAUUAAGUGAAUCUGGAGAAAUUGCUGUGCAUAAUUAACCAGGCUGGUCUUCAGUAUUGUGUGCUGGUGAUCUUCGGGCCCUUGGCCAGCUUAACGUUUAAAACAGGCAUGAUUCUGUACUGGAAAUCACUAAAUGACCUCAGGAACCCUUCCAGAAAUCACUCUCUGUUAAUUAUAUGCAAAUGCAAGCUGAAGCUGUAUUAUACAAAGAAGAAGCCAUAUGUCAACACGAUCGCCAAUGCCUUCUUUAGGCCAACGCUCAUUUAAAAUGGUAUGAGACAAAAUGGAAAACUGU